CCAUGACAACCUAAAUACAAGUAAGGUAACGAAAUAUCCUAGGUGUGCUCUCAGCGAACUUCCGAUGAGAGUCGUGUUCAGAGGCGAGGUAUUAUUUGCUCUAACAUCAUACUCUAUUGAAUCUUUGUACAGAAGUAGAUUAUUUGGGUAAUGGCACAAUUAAAUUAGUUUACAAAUUUGUUCUCAUGCCAUUAAAAAGUUAAUUUUGUGAAUAAGUGCUCAACCUUACAAUGCAAACCUAUGUAGUUGGCAAUGCUCAAGGUCUAGCUGUGAAUUUAUUGUGUGCUACAAUCGCUCGAAGAUGGGGUUUGUGUUUUACUACAUGGUACGGGAUUUGGUUGGUUCAGAACUAGUUACCCACUUAUUAGCAAUUGUUAGUGUCAUACUAUAUUAGAUGGACCAAGGAACUAUCUUUUAAGUAAUUUUAAUGUUAGUAAGUGUCGUUAUGUAGCUAUAAUGAAUGAAAGAAACACUCAAAUUGUGUAAAAUUUCCUUUUGAAGUAGAAGUAGACAACGGUGUGAAUAUAUUUAGUUGGCCGUUUGAGUUAAUGAGCGCAAAUGAAUAGUAUGUGCUAUUGGACCAGAACGACUGAAAAUAGGCCAGUGGUGCUUAAGAGGACUAUAAGAAUAGCAAAUUCCCAAAUAGAAAUAUACGCGGUAUGGACAACUACAUAUUGGUUCGCGUAAAAAAGGAUUAUGAGGUUAGUCCCAAAAUGGAAUGAUUGGAAUAAUAAGUUGAAGAUAUGUGCAAAACCAUACAUAAAAUGUACUCUUCAUUUACAUGGUAAUUCUAAAUUUGUGAGUUAAAACUAGCCAUCUUAAUCCUGAUUAAUUUCCUCAUGAAACAAUUUAGCUGUACUACUACGAAAAAUUGAAUUCAUAUGGUAUAGCUAUGAAAAAGGUAACAUAAGUACUCUUCAAAACAUCACGUCAUGUCUACAAGAAUUGUAUAAAAUGGCUCCAUAGUCCAAUGCAAAAGCUUUCAAUAUUGUAAUUUCAAACUAAGGCCAUAUCUAUGUAAUGCAGCAAUAUCACUGGAAUUUGAGAGGAAACAGUUCAAUAUUCGCUUGUCGCAAUUCGUAUGGAGGAGAUGACGCUUGCAACCUCUUGGUGUUAACCUUUCUAUACCAAGGUACUAACUAGGAUCAAUUCUUCCCCAAAAGCAAAAUCCAUUCGAGGUUCUGCAAUUACAACAUGCGCUGCCAGCACUAUAUUAACCCCUCCCCCUCCCUCCCGUGCACACACACACAAAGAGAUUAAAAAGGUUUGGCAAAUACAACGUGCUCUCCCAGCACUAUAUAAAACCCAUCCUCCUCCUCCUCCUCCUCCUCUACACAUAGGGCAGUUGAUAUCCUCUCAAAUACAAACGAUCAGGCACCACCUUUGCGACCUGACCGUGCCUGCAAUUGAUAUUCCAGGGGCAUCAUCCCAGUGCUCCAUGGCCAUGUCAUCGGCCUCACUACUAAAGCGGUUCAGCGAUGUAGCACGGUCGCCAAAAGGGUGCCGCUACAACCCAGAGAGAUCCGGCGUUGGUAUUGUCUCGGCUGUUAUGGAACCAGCCGUUGCACGCCUACGCAUCGUCGGGCCUCUCAUCAACACCAACACACGUGAGAUCCUAGAGAUUACACUACCGAACCUCUGUUGGAGCAAUAGGAGGCCAUUCUGAGCAGCCAUACUGUCAUGCGGUCUAUGCCGCAGGUGGAUCGGUAGUGGCACCGUCUAGGCGUCUACAUGUUCAAAGGUGAGAUGGGAUUUUGUAAACAAGAGUGUCUUUGCGACUAUAUCACUGAGCAAUUGGAAAAGGAGACAGAGAGGGUGAGAUGGUCUGGAAGAGAAAAGGUGCCAACAAUGGAGGACAAGGAAGGCGACCAGAGCUGCAUUUUCUUCACCUGCGCUGGCAGCCUAUGAUGCACCUACGUCUAUGUUUGAGAGAUGUAUGGGCUUUGAAGGACCGGAACCUAUUUUUCACAACUGUAUAACUUGGUGCUUUUGUAAGUAAUAGAACACCUGAUGGUUAGUAAAUAAUUAUACACUUUUGACGUGGUA
Molecule: non-coding RNA, 2046 nt
Organism: Triticum urartu
Lineage: Eukaryota; Viridiplantae; Streptophyta; Magnoliopsida; Poales; Poaceae
Source: RefSeq, a predicted model, not a curated record